RNAcentral lists this ribosomal RNA (432 nucleotides) under uncultured bacterium. RNAcentral describes it as "partial 16S ribosomal RNA". It matches the Rfam family "Bacterial small subunit ribosomal RNA", at positions 29 to 506 of the family's 1533-position model. The record is from RNAcentral.
AACGAACGCUGGCGGCAGGCCUAACACAUGCAAGUCGAGCGAGGACUUCGGUCCUAGCGGCGGACGGGUGAGUAACGCGUGGGAACGUGCCCUUUGCUUCGGAAUAGCCCUGGGAAACUGGGAGUAAUACCGGAUGAGCCCUUUGGGGGAAAGAUUUAUCGGCGAAGGAUCGGCCCGCGUUGGAUUAGGUAGUUGGUGGGGUAAUGGCCUACCAAGCCGACGAUCCAUAGCUGGUUUGAGAGGAUGAUCAGCCACACUGGGACUGAGACACGGCCCAGACUCCUACGGGAGGCAGCAGUGGGGAAUCUUAGACAAUGGGGGAAACCCUGAUCUAGCCAUGCCGCGUGAGCGAUGAAGGCCUUAGGGUUGUAAAGCUCUUUCAGCGGGGAAGAUAAUGACGGUACCAGCAGAAGAAGCCCCGGCUAACUCCGU